RNAcentral lists this ribosomal RNA (429 nucleotides) under Chloroflexota bacterium. RNAcentral's name for it is "Chloroflexi bacterium partial 16S ribosomal RNA". It matches the Rfam family "Bacterial small subunit ribosomal RNA", at positions 355 to 776 of the family's 1533-position model. The record is from RNAcentral. Lineage: Bacteria; Bacillati; Chloroflexota.
UGGGGAAUAUUGCACAAUGGGCGCAAGCCUGAUGCAGCCAUGCCGCGUGUAUGAAGAAGGCCUUCGGGUUGUAAAGUACUUUCAGCGGGGAGGAAGGGAGUAAAGUUAAUACCUUUGCUCAUUGACGUUACCCGCAGAAGAAGCACCGGCUAACUCCGUGCCAGCAGCCGCGGUAAUACGGAGGGUGCAAGCGUUAAUCGGAAUUACUGGGCGUAAAGCGCACGCAGGCGGUUUGUUAAGUCAGAUGUGAAAUCCUCGGGCUCAACCUGGGAACUGCAUCUGAUACUGGCAAGCUUGAGUCUCGUAGAGGGGGGUAGAAUUCCAGGUGUAGCGGUGAGAUGCGUAGAGAUCUGGAGGAAUACCGGUGGCGAAGGCGGCCCCCUGGACGAAGACUGACGCUCAGGUGCGAAAGCGUGGGGAGCAAACAGG